Molecule: long non-coding RNA, 100 nt
Organism: Herpailurus yagouaroundi (jaguarundi)
Lineage: Eukaryota; Metazoa; Chordata; Mammalia; Carnivora; Felidae
Exons: 3
Source: RefSeq, a predicted model, not a curated record
CUUCCGAUUCUAAAGUCUAAUUUUGCAUUAAAAAACUAGGCAUAAUGAAAAGACUAACCUACUUAAGUGUGCUUGGAGUUCUUUCAUGUUGGCAUGGACC